Dreissena polymorpha is the source of this 895-nucleotide long non-coding RNA. RefSeq lists it as uncharacterized. Lineage: Eukaryota; Metazoa; Mollusca; Bivalvia; Myida; Dreissenidae. The record is from RefSeq and is a predicted model, not a curated record. The transcript is spliced from 3 exons.
GGUUAUAGUUGCGAGACCACGCCUUAGAAGACCCUGAAGGGCUUCCCUUGUGUGAUUCCCUCCAAGGGUCUCAACCUGUCCGGCACCUGCAAUUCCAUGAUAUCAUUAUCCCUGUGAAUACAACAGCCAGGACAGAUUUUGAGGGCGCGCAAAGAAUUUAGAGGGAUUUAAUAAAGGCUAUAUUCUAAGGAACCAAAUAUUACCAAUAUUAAAGGAGAUCAAGCUAUACAACAUACCUUCAGCUGUGAAAUACUGUUCCUUGAAGCCUUCAGUCCAGAUAUGAUGCCUUUCACUUCCUCGUUGACUAUCAACAGCAAAGUCAUCGCACUCAAGCGAACAGACCACUCCAUAUUUACCAAUUAUAAUAGCAAUGCUUAUAAGUUAUUUUAUAACAGCACGAACUGAAACUGUAAUUAAGAUACUAGUAUGUUGGAUUUAUAAUGUGUUGUGACGAUUAUGUAUUAUAUCAUAUCAGUUGACGAGUGAUGUAACGCGCACCUGCAAAGUUUAUACUCCGCCCACAGGUUGGCAAAAAUAGAUGGGAUUCGUAUAAGCUCCGCCCAUAUAAAGACGGUGAACAUAAUCCUCGAUCUUAAUGAUAAUCAUGCACUAUAUCAAAUAUAAUUAUAAAUUAUGUCUGAAUAAAACAUAAGCUUGCAAGUAAAUGCAUUUUAGUAACGAAUAUACUGUAGUAAUUAUUUGUUAUUAUUACUUUAAACGAACUCGGGAGUAGAAUUCAAUCUAACGGCUCGGUAUAUGUGGUAACCACAAAGAUCUCCUAACUUAAUUAGCACAUCAUUUGAGAUAAAAAAAAAUCUCAGAAAUGCAUAUUCUUUCAGAAUUAAUUUAAUCUAAUAAAAAAUCACUAUUAAUGUUGACAACAAACAACAUAUAU